UACGGAGGGUGCAAGCGUUAAUCGGAUUUAUUGGGCGUAAAGGGCGCGUAGGCGGAGAUAUUAGUCAGAUGUGAAAUCCUGGGGCUCAACCUCAGAACUGCAUUUGAAACUGUAUCUCUAGAGGGUAGGAGGAGAAAACGGAAUUCCACAAGUAGCGGUGAAAUGCGUAGAUAUGUGGAAGAACACCGGUGGCGAAGGCGGUUUUCUAUCUUAUUCCUGACGCUGAGGCGCGAAAGCAAGGGGAUCAAACAGG
RNAcentral lists this ribosomal RNA (253 nucleotides) under uncultured bacterium. RNAcentral describes it as "partial 16S ribosomal RNA". It matches the Rfam family "Bacterial small subunit ribosomal RNA", at positions 524 to 776 of the family's 1533-position model. The record is from RNAcentral.